AUGAGAAAAACAGAGGCCCGAGGUUUUGCUUAUAGAAAUCUGGCAAAUAUUUGCCUUUUAAAAAUGGUAUUUGUUAAGCGCUUAUUAUAUGUCAGGAACCGUACUCAGCUCUGGGGUAGAUACAGGCUAAUUAGGUUGGACACAAUCCACGUCCCUCGUGGUGCUCACAGUCUUAAUCCCCAUUUUAAUCUCCAAGGUCACACAGAAGACAAAAGAUGGAGCGGGGAUUUGCCCGGCAGUCAAGGAUUUCACUAAUUUCCAGCUUAUAAGUGACACUUGCAUCGGUACGGAAGAUAUUCAUCGUCCUCGACGAACGGUUGA
This 321-nucleotide long non-coding RNA is filed under the name Ornithorhynchus anatinus (platypus). Its description in RNAcentral is "lncRNA (ENSOANG00000037671.1)". Lineage: Eukaryota; Metazoa; Chordata; Mammalia; Monotremata; Ornithorhynchidae. The record is from RNAcentral.